Molecule: ribosomal RNA, 468 nt
Filed under: uncultured bacterium
Lineage: Bacteria
Description: partial 16S ribosomal RNA
Rfam family: Bacterial small subunit ribosomal RNA
Source: RNAcentral
GACGAACGCUGGCGGCGUGCUUAACACAUGCAAGUCGAACGGAAAGGCCCUGCUUUUGUGGGGUGCUCGAGUGGCGAACGGGUGAGUAACACGUGAGUAACCUGCCCUUGACUUUGGGAUAACUUCAGGAAACUGGGGCUAAUACCGGAUAGGAGCUCCUGCUGCAUGGGGGGGGUUGGAAAGUUUCGGCGGUGUGGGAUGGACUCGCGGCUUACCAGCUUGUUGGUGGGGUAGGGGCUUACCAAGGCAUUGACGGAUAGGCGGCCUGGGAGGGUGACCGGCCACCUUAGGACUGCGGUACGCCCCAGUCUCCUACGGGAGGCAGAAGUGGAAAGUAUUACACAGUGGGCGGGCGCCUGAUACGGCGGCGCCCCGUGCGGAAUGACCGCCUUCGGGUUAUAAACCGCUUUCGCCUGUGACGAAGCGUGAGUGACGGUAAUGAGUAAAGAAGCACCGGCUAACUACGUG